RNAcentral lists this unclassified non-coding RNA (320 nucleotides) under Hevea brasiliensis (rubber tree). The record is from RNAcentral. Lineage: Eukaryota; Viridiplantae; Streptophyta; Magnoliopsida; Malpighiales; Euphorbiaceae.
AAAAAUCAUGGCGAGGCGUUGCAUGUCGUUUUCUCGAACACUUCUCUCCAGCUGUAGGCCAUCAACAGUAAGUUCCUCACCAAGUGUACAAUCCCUUCUCGGCCAGCGCCUUCAGUCUCGCCGUUCUCUUUCCACCAUUCUCACCAGGACUAACGGAGUUCUGGGAUGCGCCCAAUCGCUCUUACCGCUUCACAGCGCUGUGGCAGCCACCCGUCUGACAUCACACAUUCAAAUGGAGGCGCGCACUUGUUGCCAGUUGUCUCAGGGUACCUUUUUCUGUCGCACUUGCCCUGAUCGGUAGUUUUCAAUUGUACUUAAGG